RNAcentral lists this unclassified non-coding RNA (358 nucleotides) under Hevea brasiliensis (rubber tree). The record is from RNAcentral. Lineage: Eukaryota; Viridiplantae; Streptophyta; Magnoliopsida; Malpighiales; Euphorbiaceae.
GGGGAAACUCCCUUCUCCAACGGAAAACGCCUUUGGGGUGGAUCACAGUGCUGCAUCAGAGCCGACAAAAGUGAUCCAAGGGUUGUGUCUUGGAGCUCUUGUAAAGUGUGAGGAGUGGAUGCCACUGUAUUGCAGUCAUCAUUGUUCCCAGGAAUCGCAUGAUCAGCCUGAUAUUUGGCAAUUGCUGCAGGGCCGUUUCUGUCGAAUCUGACUUUCUCUUUCCACCAGGCACGAAGAUUAUCAGAGGCUCCACUAACUGGCUUUCCUUUCUCAGGAAUAAUCCCAUAAACGAAUCCUUGAGCUUUACAGACCUCCAUCAUUUUCAACAUAUACUUCAGGAUCCCAUCUUGAGCCCGAG